UACGAAAGGGGCUAGCGUUGUUCGGAAUUACUGGGCGUAAAGCGCACGUAGGCGGCCUUGUAAGAUGGGGGUGAAAUCCCCGGGCUCAACCCGGGAACUGCCUUCAUGACUGCAAAGCUCGAGGAUGCGUGAGGAUAGCGGAAUUCCGAGUGUAGAGGUGAAAUUCGUAGAUAUUCGGAAGAACACCAGUGGCGAAGGCGGCUAUCUGGCGCAUUUCUGACGCUGAGGUGCGAAAGCGUGGGGAGCAAACAGG
Molecule: ribosomal RNA, 253 nt
Filed under: uncultured bacterium
Lineage: Bacteria
Description: partial 16S ribosomal RNA
Rfam family: Bacterial small subunit ribosomal RNA
Source: RNAcentral